This 1176-nucleotide ribosomal RNA is filed under the name Triticum aestivum (bread wheat). Its description in RNAcentral is "partial small subunit ribosomal RNA". The record is from RNAcentral. Lineage: Eukaryota; Viridiplantae; Streptophyta; Magnoliopsida; Poales; Poaceae.
AUGCACGUCCUUGCGCCGCACUCACGUGGUCCUCCGUUUGCACCACUGCUCGGCUACCUGGAUCGUCGUGGAAGGGAAGGCAUCGCGAUCCACGGCGGCGACCUGCCAGGAGGGAUGGACGACGUGCUGUCGCAGAUCGGCGACGCCUUCCGGCUCGCCGGGGAGCUCAUGGGCGACCUCCCGGCGGCCCAGAACGACCCGGCCUACCUCGCCGCGCGCUGCCACGGCAUUGUCCGCGCCUACAACACGGCCAUACGCUUGCUGCAGAACUACGGCGUGGGCGCCGUGAACGUGGCCGCGGCUGCGCGCCCACUCGACGGCGGCGGGCCGCUGGACCUCCUGCGCCUGCGCAGCACGGAGGAAGCAGCCGGCGCCAGCCAGCUUCUCGGGGAGACUCCAACUCAUCUGCUGGAGCCAUUCCACAUGCCGGCCGGUGCACGAGCGCCAGCGCACGCGGUGCGCGCGGCGGCGGACGUCGCGGGCACCUCCGGCGGCCCGGUGAGGAGGCUGGCGCCGUCCAGGUCUCCGCCGACGGCCCAGCCACGGCAGGGCAGGAGGAGGAGGGACAGCGGGCAGAGGGAGACGAUAUCGGUGCCGGCACACCGGAUGGGCAACAUCGAGCUUCCACCGGACGACGGUUACACGUGGCGCAAGUACGGCCAGAAGGACAUCCUCGGCUCUAGGUUCCCAAGGAGCUACUACCGGUGCACCCACAAGAACUACUACGGGUGCGACGCCAAGAAGAAGGUGCAGCGCCUGGACGACGACCCCUUCAUGUACGAGGUCACCUACUGCGGCAGCCACAGCUGCCUCACCUCCACCACCCCGCUGCUCAACUUUCCCACCGCCACCGCCACAGCCACCGCUACCAACUCUCCGACCGCCGCGACAGGCUCCGGCCUGGCCCCUGCGGACCACUUCAUGGCGCCCACCGAGCAGGCGGCCGUGUCGACAUCAAUGCACCUCGGCGUCGGCUGGAUGCCGGCAAGCUUCCAGGGCGUUGUGGCGGGCUCCGGUGCCGGCGGGGGGAGUAGCGCCGGCAUGCAGACGAGCGUGUCCACCGCAGCAAGGGACACGGAUUACCCGGCGCUGGACCUUGCCGACGUCAUGUUCAACUCCGGCGGUAGCGUCGGCAUGGACGGCAUCUUCUCUUCUCAUCAUCGACGUGAUAGCUAG